UACGUAGGGGGCAAGCGUUAUCCGGAUUUACUGGGUGUAAAGGGAGCGUAGACGGCAGUGCAAGUCUGAAGUGAAAGGCAAGGGCUCAACCCUUGGACUGCUUUGGAAACUGUGCUGCUGGAGUGUCGGAGAGGCAAGUGGAAUUCCUAGUGUAGCGGUGAAAUGCGUAGAUAUUAGGAGGAACACCAGUGGCGAAGGCGGCUUGCUGGACGAUGACUGACGUUGAGGCUCGGAAGCGUGGGGAGCAAACAGG
RNAcentral lists this ribosomal RNA (253 nucleotides) under uncultured bacterium. RNAcentral describes it as "partial 16S ribosomal RNA". It matches the Rfam family "Bacterial small subunit ribosomal RNA", at positions 524 to 776 of the family's 1533-position model. The record is from RNAcentral.